RNAcentral lists this ribosomal RNA (492 nucleotides) under uncultured bacterium. RNAcentral describes it as "partial 16S ribosomal RNA". It matches the Rfam family "Bacterial small subunit ribosomal RNA", at positions 28 to 523 of the family's 1533-position model. The record is from RNAcentral.
GAUGAACGCUAGCGGGAGGCUUAACACAUGCAAGUCGAGGGGUAGGGAAGCAAUUCCUGAGAUCGGCGGACGGGUGCGUAACGCGUAUGCAACCUGCCUUAUACAGGGGGAUAGCCCAUGGAAACGUGGAUUAACACCUCAUAGGAUUACGGGAUCGCAUGCAUUUGUGAUUAAAACUGAGGUGGUAUAAGAUGGGGAUGCGUCUGAUUAGGUAGUUGGUAGGGUAAUGGCCUACCAAGCAGACGAUCAGUAGGGGUUCUGAGAGGAUUACCCCCCACACUGGUACUGAGACACGGACCAGACUCCUACGGGAGGCAGCAGUGAGGAAUAUUGGUCAAUGGCCGGAAGGCUGAACCAGCCAUCCCGCGUGCAGGAUGACGGCCCUAUGGGUUGUAAACUGCUUUUGUACCUGAAGAAUAGGCCCAACGAGUUGGGAUUUGCCGGUAAGGUAUGAAUAAGCAUCGGCUAACUCCGUGCCAGCAGCCGCGGUAA